RNAcentral lists this ribosomal RNA (256 nucleotides) under uncultured bacterium. Its description in RNAcentral is "partial 16S ribosomal RNA". It matches the Rfam family "Bacterial small subunit ribosomal RNA", at positions 524 to 776 of the family's 1533-position model. The record is from RNAcentral.
CACGUAGGGCGCGAGCGUUGUCCGGAAUUAUUGGGCGUAAAGAGCUCGUAGGCGGCCUGUUGCGUCCGCUGUGAAAAGCCCCGGGGCUUAACCCCCGGGUCGGCAGUGGAUACGGGGCAGGCUAGAGGUAGGUAGGGGAGAAUGGAAUUCCCGGUGUAGCGGUGAAAUGCGCAGAUAUCGGGAGGAACACCGGUGGCGAAGGCGGUUCUCUGGGCCUGACCUGACGCUGAGGAGCGAAAGCGUGGGAGCGAACAGG